This 1319-nucleotide unclassified non-coding RNA is filed under the name Hevea brasiliensis (rubber tree). The record is from RNAcentral. Lineage: Eukaryota; Viridiplantae; Streptophyta; Magnoliopsida; Malpighiales; Euphorbiaceae.
UCUCUCUCUCUCUCUCUUUUUGCAUAAAAGAAGGCCUGACAAGUUUUUAUCUGUUGGUUUGUUAUGUCUUAUAAACAUGGUGAGACCUGCUCAUAGUUGUUUCUACAUUGGGAGGUGGCAUCUGGCAUGGGCAAUUUGGAAUUGCCUCUUUAGCAUUUUGAAGAGCAUUGGUUGUGUCUAGAUUCUUUGAAGGCUUUUACUGGAGAGGUUUUGUUGGAAAGAAAGAUAACAAAGUUCUUUGGAAUUGUGCAUUUUUUCACUUUUAUAUAGACUGGAGUCUUAUGGAUUGAAAGGAGUGCAUGCAUAUUAAACAUAAGAGCUUUUUGCUUGUUGUGGGAUAAGGUGGUGUCUUUGGCUUCUUUGCUUGCAUGUACUUCUGGUGCACUUUUGGGGAGCUAUCCCACUUACUUGGAGGGCAUAUAUUUUAUCUUAUUUUUAAGUUCUUGUUUGCAGUUGUUUGCUGGCUUUUUUUAGGAUGACCCCUUAUCCUCUGUGAUGUUCUCAUUUGCUCUUAAUGAAAUGUCUUCCCUUGUUAAAAAAUGAUGUUAGAAUAUGGAAUUUAACUAAGGAACCCAAUGAAAUAAUAAAUAAUGCAAAAUUGCUUAGCUUACAAGUGCCUUAUGUCCCCUUUGACAACUAUAAUGUUAGCUCACUUUCGUAGAUAUUUUACUUGGACAUGAGUAUGAAUAUCUGGUUGUGUCCAGGAAUUUGACUUGAGUAUAUUUUUGAUUUGGCAAAUGCCAUAUCAUUAACCAACUUUUCUUGUUUAAAACAUUUUAAUUAAAAAAUAGGAGACAAGAGAAACUAUCUUUAUGGAUUUUUCUCAUUUAUGCUGAACAGUUUGUCAAAUCCAAUACCAAACAGUACAGGUGUACAUAUUCUCAAAAAAGAUGGUUUUGAUCGAACUGAAACAACUGGAUUGAAUUUCCGCCAAUAUUCUUAGGAAAGCAAAAAUCUACUGCCUUUCCUGCCUUUCCUUGGGAGUAAAGAGAGCAAAGUUAAAAGUCUAGUUACGCCCAGAAACUUGCUGCCAAUUUGAAUUGCUAGGUUACCAAACAGAUAAGUGGUACAAUGUGGUUGUUGGAGAUAUGGCAAUAGGUGAUGGUUUAAUUGUAGAAUACAAAUGGUAUUGGUGAGAAAAGCUGCAGCUGAAUGUGUGACAUUCGUGCAGGCAGCAGUAUUGGAUUGAUACCAUGCCAGUUGAAAAUAGGAAGUAUUUGAGAAACUUAAAAGUUUACAUAACUAAGGCUGACCAUUUUGUUAUAUAAGAAAUUAUGCUUAUCUUACAAUAAUACCAUUGAACUAAAUUGAAAGUUUUA